Paramuricea clavata is the source of this 509-nucleotide non-coding RNA. NCBI's taxonomy places the organism in Eukaryota, Metazoa, Cnidaria, Anthozoa, Malacalcyonacea, Plexauridae. The record is from the annotation of a GenBank genome assembly.
GUCUACAAAAUAUAUACAAUUGAGUUAUUUAUACUAGUAAACUACGUAUUUUCGCUUUUCUACGGUAAACUUCCUUAGUGAUCCUAAGUUAAAUAGGAAAAGACAUUUGCUUGAUAGUAAAACUAAUUUCGACACCUGAAGAUUCGAUUUGUAAAGCAUUUGACUGUCCAGUCGUAGUUUAGAUCAGUGUAAGAAUUAAACCUGAUUUCCACACUCUGACUCUGUUAUUUCUUUAUCAAUUUUUGGUAAUCAGCGCUAUCACCCUGUACUCGUUUCGUGUUGUCCAGCUCUGUGUAGCCAGGGGGUGAUUUUCUCUUUCCAACCUCUUCGUACGAUGAUUCUGCUUCAGUAUGAGCGGGUAUUACAUAAUCUGAGUCGCGUUUUAACAAUUUCUGGUAGGUGCCAUCAUUUGUUGUUUCGUCUUGUCGGUUACUGUCAAGCUCGGCGUAAACAGAAGGUGGUGAUAUUUGGACUUCUUCGUACGGUUCUGUUCCAUCAUCUGAUUCCUG